This 253-nucleotide ribosomal RNA is filed under the name uncultured bacterium. Its description in RNAcentral is "partial 16S ribosomal RNA". It matches the Rfam family "Bacterial small subunit ribosomal RNA", at positions 524 to 776 of the family's 1533-position model. The record is from RNAcentral.
GACGUAGGGGACGAGCGUUGUCCGGAUUCAUUGGGCGUAAAGGGUGCGUAGGCGGUCGGGUAAGUCGGAUGUGAAAUCCUGGGGCUCAACCUCAGAACUGCAUUCGAUACUGCCUGGCUGGAGGAUUGGAGAGGAGAGUGGAAUUCACGGUGUAGCAGUGAAAUGCGUAGAGAUCGUGAGGAAGACCAACGGCGAAGGCAGCUCUCUGGACAAUUCCUGACGCUGAGGCACGAAGGCCAGGGGAGCAAACGGG